GCCCAACUAGAUGAAAUCGUCGGUUUUUGCAUUCUGCCUCAAAUCCUCGCUACAAUGGACCCAGUGAAGAAGCGCAAAAUCGACGAAACCGGUGCCGACGGUGACCCCCUCAUGCUAACCGCCGACGACGCCCGCCGCAUUCUCGACUCUCUCACCCACGACCAGCUCCUGGAAAUCGUCCAAAACGCCCUCCUCCGCCACCCCGAUGUCCUCGACGCCGUCCGAUCGCUUGCCGACCGCGACACAGCGCAGAGGAAGCUCUUCAUCCGCGGAUUGGGCUGGGAGACCACCACGGAGAAGCUCCGCGCCCUCUUCUCCUCCUCCUACGGCGAGCUGGAUGAGGCGGUUGUCAUCCUCGAUAAGGUCACCGGGAAGUCCAAGGGUUACGGAUUCAUCACUUUCAAGCACAUUGAUGGCGCGAUUAUGGCAUUGAAGGAUCCGAGUAAGAAAAUCGACGGUAGGAUGACUGUCACGCAGCUUGCCGCCGCUGGGAUUUCGGGCCCUACGGAGGCUAGGGUGAAUAAUCCGGUGGACGUGUCGACGAGGAAGAUUUAUGUGGCCAAUGUGGCGCACGAUAUGGCGGCUGAGAGGCUUCUUCAGCAUUUCUCCAUGUAUGGGGAGAUUGAGGAGGGACCGUUGGGUUUUGAUAAGGCGACUGGGAAGUCGAAGGGGUUUGCGUUGUUUGUUUAUAAAACCACCGAGGCUGCUAGGGCCUCGUUAGUGGACCCGGUGAAGAAUAUUGAUGGCCACCAAUUGAACUGUAAACUGGCAAUUGAUGGGAAAAGAGGGAAGCCUCCUGGUGUCCAAGGGGGUAAUGUGGGGAAUGGGGAUGGGGUUGGGAAUUACGGUGGAGUAGGCGGGCAUUACGGUGGGUUUUCUGGUGGUCCAGGAUUGUCUUCUUCUUCUGUGGGAAGUCAAGCCGCAGGGUCCACUCCUGGGGUUAAUGGUGGGUAUGGUUCUGCAAUGGGAGGGCCAUAUGGUGGUGGUUCUCAUAUUGGUGGGAAUGUUGGAGCUGGAUAUGGUGGGUUGGGUGGAGCUGGGAGUGGAGUGGGCUCUGGAGCAGGAUUAGGUGGUGUUCCCGGUGGUGGAUUUCCUGGUCAUGGAGCUGGGAUGGGUGGUUGUGGAGCAGGUGGGACUGGUGGUGGAAUCGGUGCUGCAGGCAGAGGGUCAUGUUUUUACGGUUUGCCUCCUAGCUCAGUUGGAAUGGCAUCUGGGGAUUACCCGCACAGCUCACAUUACCACUUUUCAGCUGGAAGCUAUCAAGGGCAGCAUAAUCAAAUCCCAGGAGCAUUGUCAGCACCUAGAAUCCCACCUGGAGGAGCCUACCAGGGGAUGCCUCCUUAUUACUGAGUAACCAGAAGCCUUAGUUAUUUUUGAUCAAAUGCAAGCUAUUGAUAAUGCUACCCUCUGCAUUUCUGUAUGCCAUUUGGCAAUGCUCACGAGGAUUGAGAAAUGAAAAUUAGUUGGAUACAUGUGUAAUUGAGAGAUAUUAUGAUGUUAUUUGUGUCUUAGAAUGCUUGUCCUGUGAAGAAUUCUGUUUUGGGGGCUUUCUUGCCUCUCAGAGAUGGUCAAUGAUCAUUGUAUGUUGGAAAGGAAUGCUUGCAUUUUUAAGCUUGUUUUUGCGUUAUUGAUGAGCAGCCAACAAACUUAUUUGCAACCAAACGUUGAACUUUGGUUUGGUUUUGUGAGUAGUAAAUUGAUCUUGUCUUUACCUAGCCCUAGAAUCUGGAAUUAAUCAAAUUUGGCUCUUGUUUUGAUCUCUGUUAGUGUAAAUCAAUUACUUGCUGAUUCCUGGCUGAUGCUUCUUCUGUGCAUAAAAUAUAUACUACAUUUUAUCACUGAUUUUCUUUGUGUGCUGUUCUUGUGUUAAAUUUAUGUAUCUUAAAAUGGGAAUAUAUUAUCUUCUUUGUUAAAUUUGUGUGAGAUCAAUCUUGAAAACUUAAAUCGAUUACGAUGGCUAUUUUGUGAGAGCUUUGGCUGAAAGAAUAUUCUUUAUUAAGAGUAGAUUGGAGUUCAGCUGGCAAUUCGUGAUGUUUGUAAUUCACAUAGAAUUUCAUUGAAUUUUUAGUGUAACACCGAAUUAUGUUGUUUCUUUACUGCUCAUAGCUUUCUGAAUAAUGGUAGAUCACUGCAAAUCUUUGGUUGUGAGGGAUUGUCGAAUGCAUUUUUUGUCCCAAUUAUCUUCUUCCUGUUGCCUUGAUCUUUUAACUAAAACUUUUUCCAACAGCAUGUUGCUGUUCAAAGCUGUUGGAUGCUCUCUAUGCAUUCUUGAGCCUUUCAUUAUAGGAUAGAAAGUGAACAUUAGGACUUGAGUAAGUACAUAUGGCCUUAAUGCAUUUUCAGUGUCUCUUAAAGUAGUGUUUCAAGUUUAUUGAUUUAGGACCUGGCAAAUAUUGAGGUGGGUGCAUCAUUAGGUAAAAUACUAAUGUUCAAUUGUCAUGACUAAUUAUCAUAUGAUAUUUUAUCUAGGAUUGAUUUGUGAGAUUAUUUUAGUUGUAUGAGAUGACUAUGACUAAUUUUCACAUGAUUCUCCAUUUAGAAUUCUAUCUUAUGAAUCAAACACAAUAUAUAUAUCUCGAUAUAUAAUCUUGUAAAUCAAACAACCCUUAAGUAGUGUUGGUGAAUUAUUUCAAUGUGCUUGGAUGGCACAGACAGGGUAAAAGAGCUUGGAGUUUCGAAGAUAGCUACUAAUUUUAUAUUUCCACUUAUCUUUAUCAUUUGUAAGAGCAUCUCCAUGGGAUAGGUAAAUAGAGAGGUAAACUAAUAUAACUACCAUAUUUACCUUUUCUUCAUGAAAAAUUAUCCUCCAAGGGGAGAGGUAUUUGAGAAGGUAUUAUACCUUUUCCCAUUUUGAAGAGGUAAAAUCAUAUAACCACCAUAUUUACCUUCUUUUCAUAAAAAAUCAUUCUCCAAGGGAGAAGGUAUUACACUUUAUGUUUUUUUAAUGUUUUUGUACUACUAUUUUAUUUUUUUUAAAUGAUAUACCUUUCCAUAUACCUUUUAUCCUUGGAGUUAAUUUAGAAAGGUAUAUUGCACUUUUUGAGAAGGUAUAAACAUGAUAUACCCUUUCCAUUUAUCUUCUCCCCUUGGAGUUGCUCUAAUAGAAACAUCUCAUUUGGUUGAGAUACAAGUUUUUGCUCUACAUUUUCAUUUAAGUUGUAAACUUUCUUAAACUGCAAUGUAAGCACAAAGAAGCACAGAACAUAUAGUUACUCAAUUUUUUUACUCGUUUUUAUUGAAAUGGAUGUUUCAUUAAAUAGAAAAGGGCUAAUAGUCGCUAAUAUUACUUAGGAGUAUUUCUUUAGUGUUCCCCGUGAACUAAAAAAUAGUCAAUAAAACUUUUGAGUUUUGUGCAAUUUUCCAUAUAUCUCCGACUUGUUUGUUGGAACAUUAGCGGAGGGGUAGAAUCUGUAGGAAGAGUAGAGGAGAAGGAAAUGGGGUUUGUUUUAACAUGGUAUCCGAUCAGCAAACGAAUCUGUUAGUAUGUUAUAAAACUAAAUACUACCCCAAACGAGCUGCUCUAGACAACACAGCGUACUCAAAUAGAACAAAAAAAAAAAGACAAUCUAUGCACACAUGGGCACAACAAAACACGACACCAAAAAAAGUGUAGCCAGGAAGCCAAAAAAAACAAGAAGGAAUGGGGCAGCCAUUGAAAUGAUAACUAGACAGAUACCAUAGUACAAGAACCAACAAGUAGUUAUGUAUUUCUAACUGGUACUAAGAUGAGCUAACCAACAAAAUGGGUAGUAAGAAAGGUAGCGUAAUAUCCUACUCCUUGAAGUGAGCGUACUGCAGAGUGUAAGGGUGAAACUGAGAUCAUCUAACUGAGCCCAAAUGAGAACUGUGGCAACAACAAUUGAAAUAUACAUGGCUAUAGUAUCGCAGAAAACAAACACGUGGAAUGCUCUGUCUCUCAACAUCAUUGCCAUGCCUGAAUUAGUGCCAGCUUCAGAGCUAUUGUAGCCACCAGGCAUGGUGAAACCUGCUGCAAAAGUUAUUGUGGCAACCAGAGUUGCCAUAAGCAAUAGAGUGUUCACUCUAUCCUUAUAGCUACCUGAUAUCUUACUUCUACUUGAAGCCUUUUUUUUAGAGCAAUUUCGUGGAAUGCCAGCAGCCUUCAAUGCAGCCCAUCAAACGCUACAUACGCACACAAAGAUAUCAGUGCAUUAGAGUCACCUGGUUCUAAUAGUUACUAUAAAGUACUAGUAUGCAUACAUACAUUACAUACAUUAUACAUACAUACCUGUCUAAAUUGAGUAUUGUGUGGUAUUGACUAUCUUAGGGUGAAAAUACAUGCUAGCCAAGUGUAGAGGUGUGUUUCCAGAUUUGUCUUGCAUGUUUAUGAGGUAUUUGAGAUGAUGAUUAUUGAGAACAACAUUGAACACAUUAUAUCUUCCACUCUUUGCGGCAACAUGUAAAAUAUUACAACCAUCCCCAUCGAGCAACUCACCUGGAUCUGGGAAAUCUUGGAGCAAAAGGCGAAUGAUAUCAACAUGGCCUUCAAAGGAUGCUAGAUGAAUAGGUGGCCCAAAGAUGCAGCAAAGUGAAGGGGAUUUCUACCUUGACAGUCUCUCACUUUGAUUAGUCUGGGACUCGUGUUGAAAUCGCUUCUAAAACACCUGAUGAUUGCUGCUUCAAUGGGAGAUUUGUUAUGGAAAAGCUGAUUUACGCGUUCUUCAUCUGAGCAUAGUUGAAGCAUUAAAGAGACGCACCCUACAUUGCCAGAUCUGACUGCCAAAUAAAGUGCAGACUGUGAUUUGUUGUUCCGGAUAUAUGAUAGCUCGGGAUCUUGCCGGAUCAAAUAUUCUGCGGUUGCACCUUGACCACUUAAUAAUAAUUCAUGCAGGGCUGUGUAUCCUCGAUCAUUCUUUGCCCUCAACAGAUCAUUCGCGUCCUCAUGAUUCUGAGGCAGGGACUGCAACCAAUUAUGAUGAAUCUGCAGCAGAGCUAGUAGCACUGUUAUUCCAUUCCAUCUCUUUGCAGCGAGAUGCAAUGCUGUUUCUCCAUUAAAAUUCUUGGCCAACAUGAGAGAUGGUCUCACAGUAGCUAUGAGAGACACUAUAUCUUCGUGUCCCAUAUCUGCUGCUAUAUGAAGAAAUGUGUUUCCAAUAGGGCUCAACCUCGACAAAACAUCACCAGUAGACAACGUCGGUGUUGAAACUCGACCAAGAAUCCUUUUGCAUUCAUCAACAUCACCCCUUCUUGCCGCUAGAUACAAGUCAUGAUCCUUACACAUAUCUAUCGCGAGAUCAUCAUCUUCAGGGAUUCUGCUAGGAGGAGAUCGACUCCUUUUCUUCUCCUUUUUCUUGGGUUCAAAGGAAGCGUCAAUCGUGGCCAUGCGCUUGAAACUAUGGCGUCUUUCAUAGGCGUUAGCGUUAGCAUGCUCAAUCUUUAUAUCAAGCCUACCCAUAUCUUUAAAAUUGCAAACACUUGUUUAUUUCAUAACUGCACCUGCAACUUUAAUGAGGGAGGAGGAAGAAGUGAAUGA
Molecule: RNA transcript, 5491 nt
Organism: Salvia hispanica
Lineage: Eukaryota; Viridiplantae; Streptophyta; Magnoliopsida; Lamiales; Lamiaceae
Gene name: UBP1-associated protein 2C
Source: RefSeq, a predicted model, not a curated record